GCGUGUUACAGCUCUUUUGGAAUUUGUCUAGCAGGUUUUCUGGUUUUCACUGCAAAACCCCCA
This 63-nucleotide small nuclear RNA is filed under the name Pan troglodytes (chimpanzee). It matches the Rfam family "U7 small nuclear RNA". Rfam says of the family: Animal histone pre-mRNAs are spliced by a different mechanism than nuclear pre-mRNAs and self-splicing introns. This processing involves the U7 snRNP, which contains only one RNA species: U7. RNAcentral also lists the same sequence under 1 other name. Lineage: Eukaryota; Metazoa; Chordata; Mammalia; Primates; Hominidae. The record is from RNAcentral.